Molecule: ribosomal RNA, 254 nt
Filed under: Enterobacter hormaechei
Lineage: Bacteria; Pseudomonadati; Pseudomonadota; Gammaproteobacteria; Enterobacterales; Enterobacteriaceae
Also listed under: 2 other names
Description: partial 23S ribosomal RNA
Rfam family: Bacterial large subunit ribosomal RNA
Source: RNAcentral
GAGUGGACGCAUCACUGGUGUUCGGGUUGUCAUGCCAAUGGCACUGCCCGGUAGCUAAAUGCGGAAGAGAUAAGUGCUGAAAGCAUCUAAGCACGAAACUUGCCCCGAGAUGAGUUCUCCCUGAGACCUUGAGUCUCCUGAAGGAACGUUGAAGACGACGACGUUGAUAGGUCGGGUGUGUAAGCGCAGCGAUGCGUUGAGCUAACCGAUACUAAUGAACCGUGAGGCUUAACCUUACAACGCCGAAGGUGUUU